This 466-nucleotide ribosomal RNA is filed under the name Microbacterium luteolum. Its description in RNAcentral is "bacterial SSU rRNA". It matches the Rfam family "Bacterial small subunit ribosomal RNA", at positions 8 to 486 of the family's 1533-position model. The record is from RNAcentral. Lineage: Bacteria; Bacillati; Actinomycetota; Actinomycetes; Micrococcales; Microbacteriaceae.
AGAGUUUGAUCCUGGCUCAGGAUGAACGCUGGCGGCGUGCUUAACACAUGCAAGUCGAACGGUGAAGCAGAGCUUGCUCUGUGGAUCAGUGGCGAACGGGUGAGUAACACGUGAGCAAUCUGCCCCUGACUCUGGGAUAAGCGCUGGAAACGGCGUCUAAUACCGGAUACGAGCUGCGAUCGCAUGGUCAGUAGCUGGAAAGAAUUUCGGUCAGGGAUGAGCUCGCGGCCUAUCAGCUUGUUGGUGAGGUAAUGGCUCACCAAGGCGUCGACGGGUAGCCGGCCUGAGAGGGUGACCGGCCACACUGGGACUGAGACACGGCCCAGACUCCUACGGGAGGCAGCAGUGGGGAAUAUUGCACAAUGGGCGAAAGCCUGAUGCAGCAACGCCGCGUGAGGGAUGACGGCCUUCGGGUUGUAAACCUCUUUUAGCAGGGAAGAAGCGAAAAGAGAACGGACCUGCAGAA